ACUGAAGAAACCCGCCGGCUGCUGGGGCAGGGCGGCGAAAGACAAGGAAAAUGAAGCGCAGAGACGUUAAAUAACUCUCUCAAGGUCAUGCAGCUGAGAAGAGAUGAGACUUGAACUCCAGUGCCAGCCCUGUUAAUCACUAUUCUGUACUGUCUUUCAGAUGGAAUGAUAGGGUAUGCAUAAAUGUUCAUGUGGGCUCUGGAGUAUACCAGGAACUGAAGUAAGGUACAUGGACGUCUUGAAUAUUGUAACUGAGAUGGGCAAGCCUACACCUUUGCAAAUAAAGGAGGAUUGGGAAAGAUUAAGGUGAGCUUUCUCGCAAACAGAUGGGUCAUGGGAAUAAGGAAUUCUGAAUGCAUGAACAGUGAUGCUGAAAAGCAGGGGGUCUUCAAACUAUACUCAAGGGCCAAAUCAUUGCCUCUUUUUAUAAGUGAAGUUUUAUUAGACUACUGCUCCACCCAUUCAUUUAAAUGUGGUCUAUGGCUGCUUUAGGACUUAAAAUGCCAGAAUACUUGUGACAGAAACCUUCUGGCCCUCAAAGCCUAGAAUAUACACUAUCUGGCUCUUUAAAGAAGUUUGCCAACACCUGCUCCAUUGUAAGGAGGAUAUUAGUCGGGUUCUAACAGAAUUGCUUGUUGAACUAGGGUUUAAAACACAUGGUAGAGACUCCACUGCCAUAACCAGAGAGAAGACUGCCAAGAAUUAGGCUAACUUGUUCUCAGGCAAAAAGGCU
This 733-nucleotide long non-coding RNA is filed under the name Homo sapiens (human). RNAcentral describes it as "non-protein coding lnc-SLC30A7-2:24". The record is from RNAcentral. Lineage: Eukaryota; Metazoa; Chordata; Mammalia; Primates; Hominidae.